UUAAGUCAGAUGUGAAAGCCCGGGGCUCAACCUCGGAAUAGCAUUUGAAACUGGCAAACUAGAGUACUGUAGAGGGGGGUAGAAUUUCAGGUGUAGCGGUGAAAUGCGUAGAGAUCUGAAGGAAUACCGGUGGCGAAGGCGGCCCCCUGGACAGAUACUGACACUCAGAUGCGAAAGCGUGGGGAGCAAACAGGAUUAGAUACCCUGGUAGUCCACGCCGUAAACGAUGUCUACUUGGAGGUUGUGGCCUUGAGCCGUGGCUUUCGGAGCUAACGCGUUAAGUAGACCGCCUGGGGGAGUACGGCCGCAAGGUUAAAACUCAAAUGAAUUGACGGGGGCCCGCACAAGCGGGGAGCAUGUGGGUUUAAUCGAUGCAACGCGAAAGAACCUUACUACUCUUGACAUCCAGAGAAACUUUCAGAGAUGGGAUUGUGCCCUUCGGGACUCUGAGACAGGUGCUGCAUGGCUGUCGUCAGCUCGUGUUGUGAAAUGUUGGGUUAAGUCCCGCAACGAGCGCAACCCUUAUCCUUGUUUGCCAGCGAGUAAUGUCGGGAACUCCAGGGAGACUGCCGGUGAUAAACCGGAGGAAGGUGGGGACGACGUCAAGUCAUCAUGGCCCCUUACGAGUAGCGCUACACACGUGCUACAAUCGCGUACACAAAGAGAAGCGACCUCGCGAGAGCAAGCAGCCCUCAAAGUGCGUGGCGUUGUCCGGAUGGAGUCUGCAACUCGACUCCCAUGAAGUCGGAUCGCUAGUAAUCGUGGAUCAGAAAUGCUACGGUGAAUACGUUCGCGGCCUUGUACACACCGCCCGUCACACCAUGGGAGUGGGCUGCAAAAAGAAGUAGGUAGUUUAACCUUCGGGGGG
This 868-nucleotide ribosomal RNA is filed under the name Vibrio sp. Its description in RNAcentral is "bacterial SSU rRNA". It matches the Rfam family "Bacterial small subunit ribosomal RNA", at positions 583 to 1449 of the family's 1533-position model. Lineage: Bacteria; Pseudomonadati; Pseudomonadota; Gammaproteobacteria; Vibrionales; Vibrionaceae. The record is from RNAcentral.